Molecule: long non-coding RNA, 518 nt
Organism: Perognathus longimembris pacificus (Pacific pocket mouse)
Lineage: Eukaryota; Metazoa; Chordata; Mammalia; Rodentia; Heteromyidae
Exons: 2
Source: RefSeq, a predicted model, not a curated record
CUGCGUGAGAUGGAGGCGCCCGAGAGAGAGGGGACUGUGGGCCUGCUGCCGAACUCGUGCGAGCCACCCGGCCGAAGGAACUGCACCCCCGCGAAGCGGUCAAAGCCUGAAAGAAUGGAGGACGACGAAUGAACACCGUGCCUUUCGUCAUCUUCCCCGUGUUGUGGGGCCUCCUGACCGAGGACCGGUUUGUAAUGAGAAGCAAGGUGUUGGUUGAGGGACGGCCGGCAUGCCGCCAGGAGGAAGGAAAAGGAACCGUGCUGUUUUCACGUGAAGCAGCACACCCCCACCAUACGCUGGCUUUACCCCGGCCGGCUGGCGCCAUCUUCUCACUUGGCCCUCCUGUGGUACACUUGGCCAUCUGGAGACCUCAUUCCUACCGUUUCUUAAAGUGAGGUGAAACCUUUGUUCUAGGUAGUCGUUUACUCAGAAUCCUAUCAGCCCGUGUCACCAGUGUUGAAGAUCCCAGAUUCUUGGCAUCUCCUGCAAAGAAGUGGAUGAAGACACACAAAAGUGUA